UGCCACCGACAAGUGGGUUCGUCCACCGCACCUUCUCCCUUCUUCGUCUCCGUCUCUCCCAGCCCCAUAUCAACGGGGGACGGCUCUCUCGCCAUUCUCCAUCCGAAAAACCCAUAGAAACUUCCCUCGUUUCUCUCUCCUCGGCCCCGCGGGAGCGAACCAUUAUCAGUCGCUCUCGUUGGUCCGGAGCAGCGAUGCGCACCGCCUGCCUCCGCCCCACCAUUCGAAUAAAACCCUCCCCUCCGCCUCCCUCCUUCCGCCACUCCUAGGCCCAUUCCCACCCGCGCCAGCCUCGGCCGCCGCGGCCGCACCACCCACGGUCCCGCCUCGCCGUGGCAUGAGAAGAUGGCCGCGUGCUCCAGGGGCCUCGCGUGGCCGCCGUUCGAUCUGACCACGGCGAGGGGGGCGGCGUCCUGGCCGCGCCGCCGCGCCACGAUCCGGUGCUGCUGCGCCGGGACGGACCCAGAGCCGCGGAGGCGACUCUCGAGGGCGGCCGCGGCCGCGCCCGAGCGUGCCGAGGAGUGGCGCGUCGAUGGGAACAAGCCGUCUGCCGCGGCACCGGCCCGGCGGCGCGCUAGUCUCACCGCCAUGCCCCCGCUCCCCUUCCCGGCACCUCGUUCUAGAAGACAGUUCAAGCAACAGGACUUCUACCCACGGUGCACGCCGAGGGGCCCGGCUCCUCAAUCCUGUGAUUCCCCACCCAAGAGAGACACUGGUAUUGCUAGUGAGAAGGAAUGGGGAAUCAACUUGCUGGACGAAGCCGUCAAGGAGUCUGGAAUAAAUGAAGAUGGAAGCACUUGGUAUAGGGAGAGUGGAGAAGAUACUGGCGAGAAUGGGUACCGCUGCCGCUGGGCAAGAAUGGGAGGACAGAACCAUGAUGGUUCCACCGAAUGGAAAGAGACUUGGUGGGAGAAAAGUGACUGGACUGGAUAUAAGGAAUUAGGUGCAGAGAAAUCUGGGAAGAAUGCUGAAGGUGAUUCUUGGUGGGAGAAGUGGAAAGAAGUACUGUACCAAGAUGAAUGGAGAGUUGUAUACAGACUUUCUUCUAGCCUUGCUUUUUUUAAGGCUACUUUGAAACAAUGGUGAUUCCGUAGCUCUGCUGAGAAUGACUCCAACACAAUCUGCAAACAAAUGAUCAGCUAUAUCAUUGUUCUUGAUACCUAUUUGGAGAUCCAGUCCAUCCAUUGGUGUAUCUGUCACAAUCUUGCAAGAAUAGAGAAGAGUGCUGAAAAACAAGCAAAAUCAGGUGCAGAAAAUGCUGGGUGGUAUGAGAAAUGGUGGGAGAAAUAUGAUGCCAAAGGCUGGACAGAAAAAGGUGCUCACAAAUAUGGAAGGUUGAAUGAGCAGUCGUGGUGGGAGAGAUGGGGUGAACAUUAUGAUGGCCGUGGAUUUGUUUUGAAAUGGACAGAUAAGUGGGCAGAGACAGACUUAGGCACCAAAUGGGGGGACAAGUGGGAGGAGAAAUUCUUUGCAGGAAUUGGUUCUCGACAAGGGGAGACAUGGCAUGUAUCUCCUGGCAGAGAACGUUGGUCAAGAACUUGGGGAGAAGAACACUUUGGUAACGGUAAAGUCCACAAGUAUGGAAAGAGCACAACUGGCGAGAGCUGGGAUUUGGUAGUCGACGAGGAGACAUACUAUGAGGCGGAGCCCCACUACGGAUGGGCCGAUGUCGUGGGGGACUCGACACAGCUGCUGUCCAUACAACCCGUGGAGAGGCCACCGGGAGUGUUCCCGGCCAUCGACUUCAGCUCGGCGCCCCCGCCAAAGGACGCUCCGCCGGGCAUGCCUCCUUCCCCUCUGGAUGGAGGGAACUAGAGCUGCCAGCACAAGCGAAUUUUUUCUUUCUAGAGGCUCCAAAUUUUGCCUGUAAGGGAACAGCAUUCUUUGUAGGAAGUUAAUGGACCCAAUUUCCUGCGUUCA
This is an RNA transcript of Zea mays, 1920 nucleotides long. RefSeq lists it as uncharacterized. NCBI's taxonomy places the organism in Eukaryota, Viridiplantae, Streptophyta, Magnoliopsida, Poales, Poaceae. The transcript is spliced from 13 exons. The record is from RefSeq and is a predicted model, not a curated record.